Molecule: ribosomal RNA, 248 nt
Filed under: uncultured bacterium
Lineage: Bacteria
Description: partial 16S ribosomal RNA
Rfam family: Bacterial small subunit ribosomal RNA
Source: RNAcentral
GAUCCUGGCUCAGAUUGAACGCUGGCGGCAGGCUUAACACAUGCAAGUCGAACGGUAACAUAAAGAAGCUUGCUUCUUUGAUGACGAGUGGCGGACGGGUGAGUAAUGCUUGGGAAUCUAGCUUAUGGAGGGGGAUAACUACGGGAAACUGUAGCUAAUACCGCGUAAUAUCGAAAGAUUAAAGUGUGGGACCUUCGGGCCACAUGCCAUAGGAUGAGCCCAAGUGGGAUUAGGUAGUUGGUGAAGGG